This is a long non-coding RNA of Mytilus californianus (California mussel), 3223 nucleotides long. RefSeq lists it as uncharacterized. The record is from RefSeq and is a predicted model, not a curated record. The transcript is spliced from 2 exons. NCBI's taxonomy places the organism in Eukaryota, Metazoa, Mollusca, Bivalvia, Mytilida, Mytilidae.
UAUCCACAGUUAACUAAUUAUCACUCACAUAUGGAAGUUUUAUAUUUUUUAAUUGAUAAAAGAUCAAACUUGUUUUUCAGUUGUAUUUGUUAUUUGUUAUAACAGUAAGACAAAACAGGCAAUAGAAGACUGAAGCUCAACCAGUGGUUAUGUCUAAAUUGUAACAAUAUUUUUUUAUCUUGUGUCUUCUUUCUCAUUAUUCCUUUCAUGUUAUAUAUCUAUAUGUCCAAUCAAUGUAUCAAUUGCCAAUAUGUACAGUCACAAGAAGACCAGUGCUUCAGAAAACAUUAUAUGUUUGUAAUAAUAAAAUAUUACAAACACAAAAUUUUAAUUUUUGACAUGAUUACUGACUUUAACAUUCAACAAAAAGCUGUCAGUUCUACUAUCACUUUACUACUUAUACAACGGCGGCUUCUAUAACUCAUUGCUAGAUAGUAUGAUGUAUUGUUUGAUCAUUUACUUGAUUUUAUUUUUUUUGCAGUCGGUAAGUGAAUAGUUUCAAACAGAUAAGUAUAGUUUACAAUUAUCUCGCAAUUUAUAACAUGACGAUAGUCUUUAAACUUGAAUAAUGUUAUUAAUUAUGCAGGUUGCAAUAAGCUGAAUGAUCUAAUUGCGUAACGAUAUUCCUAGUUCUCAAAAUAUCGUAUAUGUUUAGUAUGUCCGUACUUCUGAAAAAAGGUGACAAUAUGUCUAAAUUGUAACAAUAUUUUUUUUAUCUUGUGUCUUCUUUCUCAAUAUUCCUUUCAUGUUAUAUAUCUAUAUGUCUAAGCAACGUAUUAUAUACAGAUAUGUACAUAUUAUGCUGUAAACCAGAGUUCCUGGUUAUUUGAUUAAUCGUCGCAAUUGAAAGUUGUUUCCGAUUAAUAAUAAAUGUCUGACGUCUGUUUGAAAAACAUAGUUCUACAAUUACAAAAACAAAAAACAGAAACAUGUGUUGUCCUUUGUGUUAUGUAAUAUAUAUAUAUAUAUCAAACCAUUACUAUUUCAAAUAUAUGCAUUAUUAAACUUUAGUCAGUAACUGUCAAGUACCAAAUCGAAAACUAAAACUAAAAACUUUGAACAUCUGUUGUCAUAGGAAUCAUCUGACAAAUGGAAGUCUUCUUAUAAAAGUGGAAAAAGGUGACAGUUACAAUGUUUGAAAAGUGUUAUCAAGAUGCAUAAAUAACACUGUUACUUUUCUUAUAAAAAAAUCAAAUAAACUUGAAUAUUUUAAUUUGAUAAAUUAUAUGGUCAGUCAUUAAACUAUUAGCCUAUAGGAUAAACAUUACAACAUGUGGUAGAAUUGCCAGUGAGACAGCUACCCAAUAUACAGUAAAUUAUGUUGAUAGUAGUUACAAUAAGUCACAUUAAGGGUUUUUCCAAUAGUGAGAAAUACAAAUCCCGCAUAUUGAGUAAGCUAAAAAAAUCCUACAAUGACAAUACGUGAACCAUUUCAAACUAUAGAACUUACACUGUUAGGUCCGAUAGGUAAAUAAAUUUUGACAAAAGUCCGACGAUGAUAUAAUAUGUUCUCAUUGUAGCUGUACCUGUGGAGAAAGGAUGAAAUACAUAAGACAACAGUGACAGCCAGUAAUAAACAUUAGCGAAACACAGAAAUGAUAGAAAACACUUCCUUCCGAUGCAAAAACAAUAUUAAAUAAUCUGAAUAUAAUGUGUCCUUGUUUAUUUGCAUGCACGUUUUAUGUUUAAAGUAUAUAUGAUUCUGAUACAUCAAAAUAGAAACUUUCCAAUGUUUUUCCUAAAAUCUGUUUUAACCACACAAUAAGUAUAUUGUACGUGUUGCAUCACACGAAUCAUUCAUACUUUGAUAUUUUCUUAUGUCAGAUAAUUAUUAAAUGCUCUCUCGUGACUGAGUAUUAUAUCAAAUUCAAAAUAAUUAGCUACACUUCUUACCAAUCAUGUGUUUUAUAACUACAAUUUAUAGCCUAGUGUCCUCUACUUAUUCAAAUUGAUUUCACUUUUCUAUUAUCCUACAAAUAAUGUUAUUAUAUAACUUAGCGUAUUGAAAAGCAUUAUAAACUGUCGGAAUAGUCUUUACUUUUAUAAGUUUUGACUUGGAUGGAGAGUUGUCUCAUUGGCACUCAUACCACACCUUAUAUCUAUUUAAGUAAUUGAUUCGAAACAAAUCAAAACUUUAGACUUUUUUCUAGUACUUCAAGUUAUUAUUCAAAUUGUUCACAAUAUGUCUAAAACCCUACAAUGUAUUUCUUAAUGUGAAUUCAAUUAUCAGACAUAUAUUUGAUUUAUACGUUGUUUCUGCAAUUAAACUAGUAAACAUGUAGAUUGAAACUGUAUUAUAUUCAACGCGCGAGACUACUAUACAUAUUUCUGUAAUAUUUAUAUGAAUGUUAUUGUUCUUGUUUUAUAACACGUUAUGAUUAUAUUUAAAUGUGUAGUCUUUCGAAAUCAUGACAUAAAUUUGCAACUGGUUUGACUAGAAAAUGUUUUACCUGUUUCGCUCACAUCGUCGUGCCUUUGAUAAAAAACUUUCGUUAAAUUUUUCAGGGCUUCGUUGAAAGGAAAUUAUUUCAUAUUUGGUGUGCAGCUUGAUAAUGUUGAGUUGUGGCGACUUUCUGUUUGCCAAAAGUUCAAAAUAUUACAACUCUGAUUGAACAAGGAAAAUAUUCGUAAAAGUUUACUUGGCUUGAUUGAAAGGAAUGAUUAGUUAUGUUUCAGUAUACAUGUUGUUAUGAUAUUGUUAUUAUCAUGUUUAUUUAUCUUGGCUUUAUGUGUUUUGUGUGGUCUUAUAAUAUGUAUAGUAUGCUUACAUCAUAUUUAUAGUUGUUUACAAAAUAAUGUUAUAAUUGUGCAGUUUAGAAAUCACUGGAACAAUCAUAGAUACUGAUGGAAUAAUUAGAACUUUCUAUUUGACAGACAUAAUAAUUCUGAAAUGAUCAUAAUAUACGAUGUGUAAUUCUAGGAGUUUCCGUUCUACAGUGAUCUAGAAGUUUCCGUGACAACUACAUAUACAGACACCGAAAUUAUACUUUUUUAGACAUUACCUUUUACUUGGAUUCAUAGAAGUUCUCUUACGUUGUUGUAUUGACACUUAAUUUACGUUAACUACAUCAUACUAGAUUGGACAUAUUCCGUACAGUUAAGAGAAGAAUUCCGGAUAAAGAAAAGACAAAGGAUCGGACAUAUAAUUUAACAGUUAAGUUAACAUUUCAAUUUGUAAAAUAUUUCUUGUAAACUUGUGUAUAUUAAAUCUUGUUAAAUUUUA